CAGCACGCGAGGCUAACAACUUGCUUAGCAACGGGGAAAAUAUGGCAGACGAACGGAAGAAGUUUCAACGAUCCAAGCGGAUUUUUAUCAACAAAAUAGACUCGUACUCGUCAAAAUACAUCGCACAGUAUCUGUCUACUUGCGCUGCUGGAGAAUCCUUAGAAGAUCCCAGACCUGGAGAGCGCUUUCAGAUUGUUGGCACUGUUAUCAAUAAAGAUGAGAAAAGGAGAAGAUUUGCUCUGGAGGAAUACUCGGCUUUAAAACGAGACGAGCUUCUUCAGCACCUGAUGGAUUGUGAUAUUAUUGUGUAUAACAUCUCAGAAGAUGCUGAAGCGAUUGAUGAAGCAACAUGGGUUGUUUCAGCCCUCCACAGUGAAAUCGAACACUUUACAUUUCCCAAGAUGUUUAUUUUGGUGUCAACAUUGAUGACCUGGGCAAAGACUAAACCAGCUGAUCCUGAUAGUCCUGAAAUUCCAGUCAUGGAAGAAGACUAUACACGGAAGAAGCCACAUCCAAACUUCAGAGAGCAUGCUAGUGCAGAGAAGCUCGUACUGAAGUUGGGGAAAACGGAAAAGACCAAGCUACGCACUUAUGUUGUCGGUGCAGGGAUGCAGUAUGGCAUGGGAGAAAGCAUCUUCCACUUCUUUUUUAAGGCAUGCUGGCUUGGUGAGUUGAGCAGCAUCCCGAUGCCAGAGCCAGGGACUAAUAUCAUUCCUACCAUCCACGUCCACGAUCUGGCUGGCGUGGUGCAAAACAUCAUCGAUCACAGACCCAAAAUGCACUACUUAAUUGCUGUGGAUGACUCCCAUAAUUCUUUGGAGGAAAUUGUAAAGGCCAUCGCAUAUGUGCUGGGUCCUGGAGAGGUUCAGAAUGUCCCUAAUGACAGUGUGCACCUUACAAAGGAACUUACGCGAGCCGAUCUAGCUUGCCUAAGUGUAAACCUCCUCAUUGAGACAGUUUUGCUGAAGAGGAGGCUGAACGUGCGCUGGGUGUGUGAAUCUGGACUCGUUAAGAACAUCGACCAUGUCGUAGAGGAGUACAGACAGAUCAGACAGCUCCAACCAAUCAAGAUUUGUCUCCUCGGCCCACCGGCUGUUGGGAAGAGUUCAGUCGCAGCACAACUGUGUAAACAUUACAAACUCCAUUAUAUUGGCGUCAAGGAGGCAGUUGAAGAGAAAAUAAAACAUUUGGAGGAAACGCUUCAUCAGAGUGAGGAGAAUAAUGACACUGAGGGAUCUGUACAGGCGACUCAGGAGCAGCUCAACACUCUGAAGGAUGCUCUUUCCCAGAAUCAAGGUCAGUUUGAAGACCACAAUAUUUCACUCAUCAUCAGAGAGAAGCUUCACUCAAAGCCGUGUAGAAAUCAGGGCUUCGUUUUGGAUGGCUAUCCCUGUACACACGAGCAAGCUAACAAACUUUUCAAUGAUGAGGAGAAGGAAGCAGGGAACUCCAGAUCUCAUUUACUGCCACAUGAUGACAAGAUAUUACCAGAAUAUGUCUUUUCACUCGAUGCCACUGAUGAGUUUCUGAAAGAACGAGCCCGGGGCCUUCCACAGUCUGUGGCAGAGGAGAUGCACUACACCCAGGAUGAGUUUGUACAGCGAUUGUCCAUCUAUAGGGAUGCAAACAUGGAGGAAGAAACAGUGCUCGACUAUUUCGACGAGCUGGAGAUCCACCCUGAACACAUUGAGAUCAGUAGCGUGAAUGACCCUGAAAAUGAAGCUGUGAUUAAGAAAAUAAUCGAAGUAGUGGGAGGCCCGAGGAACUACGGUCCCACACCUGAGGAACAGGAGGAACAGGAGAGGAAACAUGCUAUGGAGAAGCAGCAACGCCUCAUGCAGGAUGCAGCCGAGCGUGCACUCAGGGAAGCUGAGGAGGAGACCAGGAUGACUGCUCUGCUGGAGGAAUGGGCUGAAGCUGUUGUGUCCCUUAUAGAACAGGAACAUGAUGGAGGUGAAAAAGCAGGAGCAUGAGUUACUGGAGGCCCGCUCACUUCCACUGAGACACUACCUGAUGAAGUAUGUCAUGCCAACUCUCAGAGAAGGGCUUGUGGCAUGCUGUCAGGUGAAGCCUGAUGAUCCCAUUGACUUUCUGGCUGAAUAUCUUUUAAGGAACAACACAGAAGAGUAGUUUUCCCUUCACGGGACCUCCAUUGUUUUUUAAUCUAACACACUGCACAGUUGCUUUAAUUCAACUCAAUUUAAUUCAACACAACUCAAUUUAUGUUACUUCUAUUACAAAAAUAAAUACAAGUUUUCUCCCAGCUUGUGUACUUUGAAUAGUUUUAGUGCAGGUAGCAUGUCUACUCUGGAAAGUUAAAUGAAAACUAGUGCAGUUUAGCCCAGUGGUGAGCUGGCAUCCCAUCCAAGGUGUAUCCUCACCACACAACCAGUGCUACUGGAAUAGGCUUUAGAUCCACCCUGACCAGGAUAAAGCAGUAACAGAAAGUGAGUGAGUAGCAGUAGUUUAUGUCGAUCAGUUGAAACUUCACAAUUUGGAUUAACGAGAAACUUUUUUAUCCAAUCUGUAAUUUUCUUUCAACCCAAACGAAUGGGUUAUUUUAUGGCUUAUUUUAUUUUAUCUGUUUAUUUCUGAUAUAAAUCAUUACAUUGUAUCCCACCUGUAUUACAAGCCCUUGUUCACAACC
Molecule: RNA transcript, 2647 nt
Organism: Hemibagrus wyckioides
Lineage: Eukaryota; Metazoa; Chordata; Actinopteri; Siluriformes; Bagridae
Gene: ak7a
Gene name: adenylate kinase 7a
Exons: 18
Source: RefSeq, a predicted model, not a curated record